ACAGGGAUUGCCCUAGUAACGGCGAGUGAAGCGGCAACAGCUCAAAUUUGAAAUCUGGCGUCUUUGGCGUCCGAGUUGUAAUUUGCAGAGGGCGCUUUGGCAUUGGCAGCGGUCCAAGUUCCUUGGAACAGGACGUCACAGAGGGUGAGAAUCCCGUACGUGGUCGCUAGCCUUUACCGUGUAAAGCCCCUUCGACGAGUCGAGUUGUUUGGGAAUGCAGCUCUAAAUGGGAGGUAAAUUUCUUCUAAAGCUAAAUACUGGCCAGAGACCGAUAGCGCACAAGUAGAGUGAUCGAAAGAUGAAAAGCACUUUGGAAAGAGAGUUAAAAAGCACGUGAAAUUGUUGAAAGGGAAGCGCUUGCAGCCAGACUUGCCUGUAGUUGCUCAUCCGGGUUUCUACCCGGUGCACUCUUCUAUAGGCAGGCCAGCAUCAGUUUGGGCGGUUGGAUAAAGGUCUCUGUCAUGUACCUCCUUUCGGGGAGAACUUAUAGGGGAGACGACAUGCAACCAGCCUGGACUGAGGUCCGCGCAUCUGCUAGGAUGCUGGCGUAAUGGCUGUAAGCGGCCCGUCUUGAAACACGGACCAAGGAGUCUAACAUCUAUGCGAGUGUUUGGGUGUCAAGCCCGAGCGCGUAAUGAAAGUGAACGGAGGUGGGAACCUUUCGGGGUGCACCAUCGACCGAUCCUGAUGUCUUCGGAUGGAUUUGAGUAAGAGCAUAGCUGUUGGGACCCGAAAGAUGGUGAACUAUGCUUGAAUAGGGUGAAGCCAGAGGAAACUCUGGUGGAGGCUCGCAGCGGUUCUGACGUGCAAAUCGAUCGUCAAAUUUGGGCAUAGGGGCGAAAGACUAAUCGAACUAUCUAGUAGCUGGUUCCUGCCGAAGUUUCCCUCAGGAUAGCAGUAACGUUUUCAGUUUUAUGAGGUAAAGCGAAUGAUUAGAGGCAUGGGGGUUGAAACAACCUU
Molecule: ribosomal RNA, 960 nt
Filed under: Leptosphaerulina obtusispora
Lineage: Eukaryota; Fungi; Ascomycota; Dothideomycetes; Pleosporales; Didymellaceae
Also listed under: 2 other names
Description: partial large subunit ribosomal RNA
Rfam family: Eukaryotic large subunit ribosomal RNA
Source: RNAcentral